UUAAACUAAGAAUAUAACGGGUGGAGCUUUAUAUUCAAAAAUGAAUAAAAGAUGAGUAAAUAAAUUAAUUAUUAAUAAAUUAGGCUUUUUAGUGGCCAAAUUUUUAAAGUAUUUAAACUAAAUAAAAUUAAAAAAAUUUUAUUAUUAUUCUCUUAAUUCUAGUAGUAGAAUAUUUUUAAUAUUAAAAGUGGAUUAGUAAUAAUGAAAAUAUUAGUAGAUUAUAAAUAUUAUAAUUAAAAAAUAAAUUAUAAAAUAUAUUUUAAUAAAACAGAGAGGAAAAUUGAAGGAAUUCGGCAAAUAUUUUUCUUGCCUGUUUAACAAAAACAUGUCUGUAUGAAGUUUUAUAGAGUCUGGCCUGCCCGUUGAAGAAAUUUGAAAGGCCGCGGUAUAUUAACUGUGCAAAGGUAGCAUAAUCAUUAGUUUUUUAAUUGAAAACUUGUAUGAAGGGUCUGACAAAGAAAAAUCUGUCUUCAAUUUUAUUUUUGAAAUUAACUUUUAAGUGAAAAGGCUUAAAUAAAUUUAAGGGACGAUAAGACCCUAUAAAUCUUUAUAUUAUAUUAUUAUCUUUAAUUUUAAUCAAUUUGUCUAGAAUUAUAAGUAAUAUAAUAAAUAUUUUGUUGGGGUGACGAGAAUAUAAAGUUAACUGUUCUUAUAAAAAACAAAGUUGUUUGUUUAAUAAUGAUAGAUCCUUUUUAAAGAUUAUAAGAUUAAGUUACUUUAGGGAUAACAGCGUUAUUUUUUUUGAGAGUUCAUAUCGAAAAGAAAGUUUGCGACCUCGAUGUUGAAUUAAAAUUUCUCUACGGUGUAGAAGUUGUGGAAGAGAGUCUGUUCGACUUUUAAAAUUUU
This 846-nucleotide ribosomal RNA is filed under the name Paramunida amphitrita. RNAcentral describes it as "partial 16S ribosomal RNA". Lineage: Eukaryota; Metazoa; Arthropoda; Malacostraca; Decapoda; Munididae. The record is from RNAcentral.